CUGACAAAGUGUCUCCGCCCCCGAGGCUGCUCAUCCAGGAGGAGAUUUGCUCUGAGAUCUGUCAAUCAAAGGAGCAGUUCACCCAGUCAUUGGGUGGACUGUCAGAGGUCCCGCCCACCUCUGCUUUCUUCACCAAUGCCUGCUGCUGUCAGGCGUCACCUGAGCACACGGGGUUAACGAUGAAGGCCUUUCUCCUCCUCAUCUUCUCCGUCUUCAUCUUCUCAACUCUUUACUCGAGGUGUUUGUGGUGGAGCACGACUGUGACUUCAACCGUGUUCAUGACGAUCAUAACUUUUAUGUUCCUGACGAAGUCGGGGCCGAUGGGCGAGUGGAGGAGGGCGAAGACGGAGGACAUCACAUCCAGAAAUGAGUAAACGAAGAAACGGAAGAUAAUUUCAAACUGGAGGAGAGAAAGAGGAGAAGGUCUGAUGGAAACUCUGUCAAAAUAUGUAUCCUGUCACUAAAUGUUUGCAUGUGAGUUGCUCUUAAAAGACCAAGUUAUUCUGAGCUCCGGAAAACAUUUUAUAGCAACAACUGUUUGAAAAAUCGCUGGAAAAAUCAGUGUGAUGUUGUUUAGUAUUUUACAUCAAGUCCUCCCUGAAGGUCUCUGAAUAUUAAAGUCAGGUGGACGACUGAGAGAAAAGUCCAAGUGAACAUGAAACUGUAAAAAAUUGGAAACGAUGAGCCGAGAGAAGCUGAAUCAGUUUGACAGUUUGUUUCUGAUAAAAUGCUGAAGGAACUCGAUCAACAUGGCGACACGAGUCACUGUAGUUUAGAUGGGAGAUAAAUAAUAAUCAUCCAAAUGUCCCUGAUGUAUUUUUAAAAGACUGUAAACACAUAUUCUGUUGAUCUCAGCUGAACUUGGCUUGUUUGGGUCCAAAGUGACAAAACCUCAGAUGUUCAGCGUCUGAGAACAAAUUCUGCAGCAAAAGAAAAGAAGAGAGAAACAACAGUGAGCGUCGCUGAGAAGCUUCACGUCUAUUUAAAAAAACACAAACGCACAAAACGUUCUAGUUUAUCUACCUGGAAUUUAUAUCUGCAGGAAACUGAAUUGAGUUUUAUUCCAAAAUGACAAUAUAAAUAAUUAAUAAUAAAGAAACAAUCUCGUGCCUUUUAAAAAAAGUUCCACAUUGAAAUCUGGAAUUUAAAGCAACACUGUGUAACUGUUACUGAGCAACAGCGCCCCCUGCAGCCACACAUGGUGAUUAGUUCUGUUGGGCUCUGUGUGCGAGUGAUGAGGGUUAGUGAACAUUCUCCAUAUUUACACUCAAUCAUCAAACUCACUUUAAUCAAGCUGAUGGUUGAAGGUAAAACAAAGUGAAGCAGUGAAUAGAGGAGGGCCCGAGGACAGAGCCUUGUGGAACACCUAUUCUAAAUGUCAUAGCACCUGAUCUCUGAAUCACUGCCUGUUUGUGUCAGGUAUGUGGGUCAGGGACCAUUCUCCAUAUUCACGGGCACUGAACCAUCGAACUCACUUUAAUCAAGCUGCUGCUUUAAAGAGUUAAAGUUGCAUCGUGUUGCUUUAAAACUGCAUCAGGUCGGAUUUUUGUGUGAAACUGAAAAUUCAGAGUUAACUUUGGACAAAAAUCCUUUUAUAGUUUUACUGGUAGCAGCUAACUAGCAUCAACACUCCAGUUACUCUCCCUCACUGUUGUGAAUUCACACUGAUCAGGUGUUAAAAUCUUAAAUGUGAUGUGAUGUGUAUUCGUGUGUUUAUUCACUCAAAGUGCCAAAUCGGUUGAAAUCGGACAAUUCAGGAAAUGUUACAUCACCUAUAUCAAUGUUUAAACAUCUAUAUAAUGAUAUUUUUACUAAUGCUGUGCAUGAAUUUGCAUAUCUUUGCAUUUAAAGCUGCAAAUGUUUUUAUAUGAAUGAUGGAUCCGCUCCACUAAACCUUUAGCUUCUUUCAGCUCCUGGUUUUAGUUUUACAGCCAAAACUAUGAGUCCGGAGUUUUUCUGAGGAGGUGGAGACUAAAAACGGAGCUAAAAGAGCGGGAACACUGGGCAUGAACCCAGUUCUGUCACUGCCUGAUGUGACAAACAUGCAACUGUUUCAUGUUGUUUCUUUUAUCUGCUGCCCCCUGGUGGCCAACAGUCAAUUCAUGCAGCUUUAAAUGAUCAAAGUUGAAUGUUUUUUUUCUAUUCAACACUUUUUGAAGUUUCCUGAAAGACAUUUAAUAUGAAUUUUGAUCUGAUUGUUGUUACUGUACAUGUUGUUAAUGAUCCUGUACAUAAUGUGAAAUGUGAUUCUCUUCUUGUGACAGCACUUAUUACAACUGUUCAUUUGAAUUCCCCUCUUCUGUAUCCAUGUAAAGUCUCUGUGCUGAAAACCGUAAACUACAUUUUAAUUUGAAAUUGAAACAAUUCUGAUGUCAGAAAUGACCAAAAUAUUCACUAAUGAAAUCCGACUGCAGUGUUGAUCGCUGUGCUUCAUCAGUAAAUUGUCUAAAUCAGUGAUCACCAACCUUUUCGAGCCCAAGAUCACUUUUUAAUUCCAAACGUAAGCCGAGAGCUAAAACCCUGACAUCUUCCAACAAACCCACUUAGGAGGGUCAUAUUUAUUAUUUUUUGCAAUUUCUGUUGAAGGCUGAAUGUACAAGAAAUAAAUAUACACAAAGAGA
Hippoglossus stenolepis (Pacific halibut) is the source of this 2621-nucleotide long non-coding RNA. RefSeq lists it as uncharacterized. Lineage: Eukaryota; Metazoa; Chordata; Actinopteri; Pleuronectiformes; Pleuronectidae. The record is from RefSeq and is a predicted model, not a curated record. The transcript has 5 exons.